RNAcentral lists this ribosomal RNA (204 nucleotides) under Vibrio sp. OPT41. RNAcentral describes it as "partial 23S ribosomal RNA". It matches the Rfam family "Bacterial large subunit ribosomal RNA", at positions 1111 to 1315 of the family's 2925-position model. The record is from RNAcentral. RNAcentral also lists the same sequence under 1 other name. Lineage: Bacteria; Pseudomonadati; Pseudomonadota; Gammaproteobacteria; Vibrionales; Vibrionaceae.
AGCAGCCAUCAUUUAAAGAAAGCGUAAUAGCUCACUGGUCGAGUCGGCCUGCGCGGAAGAUGUAACGGGGCUAAGUAGUAAACCGAAGCUGCGGCAAUAUACUUUUGUAUAUUGGGUAGGGGAGCGUUCUGUAAGCGGUUGAAGGUGUGUGGUAACGCAUGCUGGACGUAUCAGAAGUGCGAAUGCUGACAUGAGUAACGAUAA